CCUACGGGGGGCUGCAGUAGGGAAUAUUGCUCAAUGGGGGAAACCCUGAAGCAGCAACGCCGCGUGGAGGAUGAAGGUUUUCGGAUUGUAAACUCCUUUUGUUAGAGAAGAUAAUGACGGUAUCUAACGAAUAAGCACCGGCUAACUCCGUGCCAGCAGCCGCGGUAAUACGUAGGGGGCAAGCGUUAUCCGGAUUUACUGGGUGUAAAGGGAGCGUAGACGGCUGUGCAAGUCUGAAGUGAAAGGCAAGGGCUCAACCUUUGGACUGCUUUGGAAACUGUGCAGCUAGAGUGUCGGAGAGGCAAGUGGAAUUCCUAGUGUAGCGGUGAAAUGCGUAGAUAUUAGGAGGAACACCAGUGGCGAAGGCGGCUUGCUGGACGAUGACUGACGUUGAGGCUCGAAAGCGUGGGGAGCAAACAGGAUUAGAUACCCUUGUAGUC
This 440-nucleotide ribosomal RNA is filed under the name uncultured bacterium. RNAcentral's name for it is "partial 16S ribosomal RNA". It matches the Rfam family "Bacterial small subunit ribosomal RNA", at positions 338 to 795 of the family's 1533-position model. The record is from RNAcentral.